This 254-nucleotide ribosomal RNA is filed under the name uncultured bacterium. Its description in RNAcentral is "partial 16S ribosomal RNA". It matches the Rfam family "Bacterial small subunit ribosomal RNA", at positions 524 to 776 of the family's 1533-position model. The record is from RNAcentral.
CACGAAGGCCCCAAGCGUUGUCCGGAUUUAUUGGGCGUAAAGAGCUCGUAGGCGGUUCAGUAAGUCGGGUGUGAAAACUCUGGGAUCAACCCAGAGACGCCACCCGAUACUGCUGUGACUUGAGUCCGGUAGGGGAGUGUGGAAUUCCUGGUGUAGCGGUGAAAUGCGCAGAUAUCAGGAGGAACACCGGUGGCGAAGGCGCCACUCUGGGCCGGUACUGACGCUGAGGAGCGAAAGCGUGGGUAGCAAACAGG